GUGAGCAAGUGAUGUAAUGCUAAAUUUCUCCAAAUCUGUUCCCAAGAAAAACAAACCCAUCUACAUCUUAGUCUAAACA
Long non-coding RNA from Sinocyclocheilus rhinocerous, 79 nucleotides. RefSeq lists it as uncharacterized. The record is from RefSeq and is a predicted model, not a curated record. NCBI's taxonomy places the organism in Eukaryota, Metazoa, Chordata, Actinopteri, Cypriniformes, Cyprinidae. The transcript has 3 exons.